GUCCAGGGAUGGGAAUCGAACCCACAGUGUGCCGCUUACCGGACAAAUGCCAUAUCCACACUAAGCUACCCUGGA
Cordylochernes scorpioides is the source of this 75-nucleotide non-coding RNA. Lineage: Eukaryota; Metazoa; Arthropoda; Arachnida; Pseudoscorpiones; Chernetidae. The record is from the annotation of a GenBank genome assembly.